CACGUAGGGCGCAAGCGUUGUCCGGAAUUAUUGGGCGUAAAGAGCUCGUAGGCGGUCUGUUGCGUCUGCUGUGAAAACUCGGGGCUUAACCCCGAGCCUGCAGUGGAUACGGGCAGACUAGAGGUAGGUAGGAGAGAAUGGAAUUCCCGGUGUAGCGGUGAAAUGCGCAGAUAUCGGGAGGAACACCGGUGGCGAAGGCGGUUCUCUGGGCCUUACCUGACGCUGAGGAGCGAAAGCGUGGGGAGCGAACAGG
Molecule: ribosomal RNA, 253 nt
Filed under: uncultured bacterium
Lineage: Bacteria
Description: partial 16S ribosomal RNA
Rfam family: Bacterial small subunit ribosomal RNA
Source: RNAcentral